RNAcentral lists this ribosomal RNA (357 nucleotides) under uncultured Streptococcus sp. RNAcentral describes it as "bacterial SSU rRNA". It matches the Rfam family "Bacterial small subunit ribosomal RNA", at positions 1025 to 1382 of the family's 1533-position model. Lineage: Bacteria; Bacillati; Bacillota; Bacilli; Lactobacillales; Streptococcaceae. The record is from RNAcentral.
ACAUCGGUGACAGGUGGUGCGAUGGUUGUCGUCAGCUCGUGUCGUGAGAUGUUGGGUUAAGUCCCGCAACGAGCGCAACCCCUAUUGUUAGUUGCCAUCAUUCAGUUGGGCACUCUAGCGAGACUGCCGGUAAUAAACCGGAGGAAGGUGGGGAUGACGUCAAAUCAUCAUGCCCCUUAUGACCUGGGCUACACACGUGCUACAAUGGUUGGUACAACGAGUUGCGAGUCGGUGACGGCGAGCUAAUCUCUUAAAGCCAAUCUCAGUUCGGAUUGUAGGCUGCAACUCGCCUACAUGAAGUCGGAAUCGCUAGUAAUCGCGGAUCAGCACGCCGCGGUGAAUACGUUCCCGGGCCUU